AGCGGGUUGUGGAAGCUUGCAAUGAAGGAUUUUCCCAUCAGGCAUGGUAAAACGGUAAAUUUUACCAGAGUGAAGGAUCUUGGUGUUUAGGAAGAACUGGGCAUCAAAUCUGUCAAUCGUAUCCACACAAAGAGUAUCCGAAAGAUCUAUAUCAUGGUGUUUGAAGAUCCGAGUAAGUAGACUGUCAAUAGACUCAUCCAAAGGCUUCUUGUCAAGAGGA
This 220-nucleotide long non-coding RNA is filed under the name Brassica napus (rape). RNAcentral's name for it is "long non-coding RNA (BNAP_LNC019999)". The record is from RNAcentral. Lineage: Eukaryota; Viridiplantae; Streptophyta; Magnoliopsida; Brassicales; Brassicaceae.